RNAcentral lists this ribosomal RNA (366 nucleotides) under Aphthona howenchuni. RNAcentral's name for it is "partial 16S ribosomal RNA". The record is from RNAcentral. Lineage: Eukaryota; Metazoa; Arthropoda; Insecta; Coleoptera; Chrysomelidae.
UUGAAUGGCCGCGAUAUUUUGAUCGUGCUAAGGUAGCAUAAUCAUUAGUUUUUUAAUUGAAAGCUAGAAUGAAGGGUUGGAUGAAAAAUUUUCUGUCUCUAAUUAAUUUUAUUAGAAUUUUAUUUUUAAGUUAAAAAGCUUAAAUUUAAUUAAAAGACGAGAAGACCCUAUAGAGUUUAAUAUAAUAAUUUAUUUAUAUAUUUAGGAUUUAGGUUAUAAAUUAAUAUUUAUAUUUAAUUGGGGUGAUUAAAAAAUUUAAUAAACUUUAAUUUUAUAUGAAUAUUAAUUAAUAAUUGUAUGAUCCAAAUUUUUUGAUUAUAAGUAAAAAUUACCUUAGGGAUAACAGCGUAAUCUUAUUAGAGAGUU